GUGGAUUAGAUACCCUGGUAGUCCACGCUGUAAACGAUGUCGAUUUGGGGGUUGAGCUUUGAGCUUGGCGCCCGUAGCUAACGUGAUAAAUCGACCGCCUGGGGAGUACGGCCGCAAGGUUAAAACUCAAAUGAAUUGACGGGGGCCCGCACAAGCGGUGGAGCAUGUGGUUUAAUUCGAUGCAACGCGAAGAACCUUACCUACUCUUGACAUCCAGAGAACUUUCCAGAGAUGGAUUGGUGCCUUCGGGAACUCUGAGACAGGUGCUGCACGGUCGUCGCCAACU
This 286-nucleotide ribosomal RNA is filed under the name uncultured bacterium. RNAcentral describes it as "partial 16S ribosomal RNA". It matches the Rfam family "Bacterial small subunit ribosomal RNA", at positions 773 to 1060 of the family's 1533-position model. The record is from RNAcentral.